This 496-nucleotide ribosomal RNA is filed under the name uncultured Sphingobacteriales bacterium. Its description in RNAcentral is "bacterial SSU rRNA". It matches the Rfam family "Bacterial small subunit ribosomal RNA", at positions 887 to 1382 of the family's 1533-position model. The record is from RNAcentral. Lineage: Bacteria; Pseudomonadati; Bacteroidota; Sphingobacteriia; Sphingobacteriales.
CGCCCGCUCAGAAACUUAAAGGAAUUGACGGGGGCCCGCACAAGCGGAGGAGCAUGUGGUUUAAUUCGAUGAUACGCGAGGAACCUUACCUGGGCUUGAAAGUUAGUGACAUUCUGUGAAAGCAGAACUUCCGCAAGGACACGAAACUAGGUGCUGCAUGGCUGUCGUCAGCUCGUGCCGUGAGGUGUUGGGUUAAGUCCCGUAACGAGCGCAACCCCUAUCAUUAGUUGCCAUCAGGUCAUGCUGGGGACUCUAAUGAGACUGCCCGCGCAAGCGGUGAGGAAGGUGGGGACGACGUCAAGUCAUCACGGCCCUUACGUCCAGGGCUACACACGUGCUACAAUGGUAGAUACAGCAGGUUGCCACAUGGUAACAUGGAGCUAAUCCCAAAAGUCUAUCUCAGUUCGGAUUGAGGUCUGCAACUCGACCUCAUGAAGCUGGAUUCGCUAGUAAUCGAAAAAUCAGCAAUGUUUCGGUGAAUACGUUCCCGGGCCUU